Molecule: long non-coding RNA, 245 nt
Filed under: Elaeis guineensis (African oil palm)
Lineage: Eukaryota; Viridiplantae; Streptophyta; Magnoliopsida; Arecales; Arecaceae
Description: long non-coding RNA (EGUI_LNC031576)
Source: RNAcentral
UCCUCUCUUCAAUUAUUAUUUGGUUGAUCCAACUACUUGGCUUAUUAUCACUCUUCUCUACCACACAUGGAUAGGAUUCCACCAACAAAUCUAGCAACACAUCCAAAUGGAAUGGAAAGUACAGCAACAAACUUUCUAGCAUAUUCAGUGGGAUCUCACAUAAUUUCAUUGCUGGUGGAAUAUUAUGUAGUCAUCAACAUCCUAAUACCAGUAGGACAUCACGUAGUUAUUGUCAUCCUAGGCCC